RNAcentral lists this ribosomal RNA (377 nucleotides) under uncultured bacterium. RNAcentral's name for it is "bacterial SSU rRNA". It matches the Rfam family "Bacterial small subunit ribosomal RNA", at positions 521 to 896 of the family's 1533-position model. The record is from RNAcentral.
UAAAACGUAGGUGGCAAGCGUUAUCCGGAUUCACUGGGCGUAAAGCGCACGCAGGCGGCUCGGUAGGUAGGGCAUGAAAUCUCCUGGCAUAACUAGGAGACGCUGUCCUAAACCCCCGAGCUUGAGGAUGGGAGAGGGCAGUGGAAUUGCCGGUGUAGUGGUGAAAUGCGUAGAGAUCGGCAGGAACACCAGUGGCGUAAGCGACUGCCUGGCCCAUACCUGACGCUCAGGUGCGAAAGCUAGGGGAGCGAACGGGAUUAGAAACCCCGGUAGUCCUAGCCGUAAACGAUGUACACUAGGUGUCGGGGGUAUUGACCCCCUCGGUGCCGAAGCCAACGCGUUAAGUGUACCGCCUGGGGACUACGGCCGCAAGGUUA